UACGUAGGGGGCUAGCGUUGUCCGGAUUUAUUGGGCGUAAAGAGCGUGUAGGCGGCCAUGUAGGUCCGGUGUGAAGACUCGAGGCUUAACCUCGAGAUGUCAUCGGAAACCAUUUGGCUAGAGUCCGGAAGAGGAGAGUGGAAUUCCUGGUGUAGCGGUGAAAUGCGCAGAUAUCAGGAGGAACACCGAUGGCGAAGGCAGUUCUCUGGGCCGUAACUGACGCUGAGGAGCGAAAGCGUGGGGAGCGAACAGG
RNAcentral lists this ribosomal RNA (253 nucleotides) under uncultured bacterium. Its description in RNAcentral is "partial 16S ribosomal RNA". It matches the Rfam family "Bacterial small subunit ribosomal RNA", at positions 524 to 776 of the family's 1533-position model. The record is from RNAcentral.